AGCGAACGCUGGCGGCAGGCCUAACACAUGCAAGUCGAACGAACUCUUCGGAGUUAGUGGCGGACGGGUGAGUAACACGUGGGAACGUGCCUUUAGGUUCGGAAUAACUCAGGGAAACUUGAGCUAAUACCGGAUGUGCCCUUCGGGGGAAAGAUUUAUCGCCUUUAGAGCGGCCUGCGUCUGAUUAGCUAGUUGGUGAGGUAAAGGCUCACCAAGGCGACGAUCAGUAGCUGGUCUGAGAGGAUGAUCAGCCACAUUGGGACUGAGACACGGCCCAAACUCCUACGGGAGGCAGCAGUGGGGAAUCUUGCGCAAUGGGCGAAAGCCUGACGCAGCCAUGCCGCGUGAAUGAUGAAGGUCUUAGGAUUGUAAAAUUCUUUCACCGGGGACGAUAAUGACGGUACCCGGAGAAGAAGCCCCGGCUAACUUCGUG
This 433-nucleotide ribosomal RNA is filed under the name uncultured bacterium. Its description in RNAcentral is "partial 16S ribosomal RNA". It matches the Rfam family "Bacterial small subunit ribosomal RNA", at positions 29 to 507 of the family's 1533-position model. The record is from RNAcentral.